Long non-coding RNA from Neofelis nebulosa (Clouded leopard), 1907 nucleotides. RefSeq lists it as uncharacterized. Lineage: Eukaryota; Metazoa; Chordata; Mammalia; Carnivora; Felidae. The transcript is spliced from 3 exons. The record is from RefSeq and is a predicted model, not a curated record.
AGGAAAUCGAAGCUUUGAAAGUUUACCCCAUUAUUGUGACAGCGACACUGGCACCCUCCCGGCCACAGCACGAAGUUCUCCCUCGGAUUACGUUUCCCCAUCCUCCCAACAAUGAAAUCUUCCCGGCACCCUCCGUGAGAGAGCAGCAUGCUGGUGAUAGACCUCACAUCUGUGCAAGGCCCCGGAGGAGUCAGCUCAGACCACGUCAGCUCUCCCUGCAUGACUUCCAUGAGGACAGCAUGGCUGGCGGGUGGUCAAAAACCAGAAGCGAGGCCCAAACCCUGGAGACAAAGGCGGAACUGUCCGGUCCAAACCAACCAUAGCCACUGGGGAAUGAGAACAGCGUGCUUAUGUGGUAAGCCCUGCAGAGAGAUACUUUUCUAAUAUUUUCCAAGACCUCAGCUUUCUUUUCUUUUUUUCUAAUAAAAUCCUACGCGAGACAAUGUUACACGGCAGUUGCUUCACCAACGUUGCAUCACAUUCUCACUGGCAGUAUUAGCGUUUAACCAUCCUAGAAAACCAGGAUAUUUGUAUCCUGAAAACGCAAGUAAGUAAUUUCCUCUUUCAGUUCUAAGUGUUUCACUGGUACCUCCAGAAGCUUCUGUGAAAUCUGUUUUUUAAAGAACUGCAAUCAUUGGGAAUAUUUCUUGGUUAAGUAGCACGAAUGCAUUUAUCAGCGGCAUCCUUUUCUUGUUUCUGACAACGUAACUUUCCGUACGUUGGCGCACUCCCUAGCCUGACAACAGAUACCUCCUCCAGUUUGUAGGACACAGUCACACUUUGUUCCAGACUCCCUGGAAGGCACUGAGGAUCCGGCGGUGAUCAGCUCAGCCCUCGUGGACCUUAUGCUCUGCUGGAAGGAAGAGACGAACCCCAAGAAGCUGAGCCGCCGUGUCGACUCGUACUCGGCAGACCACCCUUGCUGCAUAAGGUACAACAUUUCAGCUGCAUAUCCACGUGCCCCAGAAACACAGUGGGAAACCUGAGCCAGCCUUCCUCGUGACUUCAGGCCUUGCCCCGACUCCAGUGGAGACAAGCCAAAAUGUUUCAGCUCCCAACCCAGGGCAGACCUCAAAUAUGACACGUGACUCAAAAGCAGUCGGUGAGAUAUGGCCCCUUCGGCGAGUGUCUGAUUGGUUCCAGAGGAAAGAGUUUAGACAGCCCGGCUCAGAGCACAUGUCUGGAGGGGAGUCCUCGGGGCCUGGGUUUCUGGCAGGCCUCCGGGCUCAGGGACUAGCAGGGCUCGCUACGUGCUCACACGUGAAGCGCUUGUGAGACACGCAGCCCGUGGAAGCCAGCGGGGCUGGUCCCACCUGCAAGCUGCUUACCUCACUCCACCACCCCCUGAGGGGGGGAGGCUGGAACAUGUUUCCAGGGAGUGGCAGCCUCUUAAGGCUAUAAUAAUGUCGAUCAACUCGAAUGGACUAAUAUCACAACACUGUGAUGGGGUCUUCAAGAAAAGAUACUAAAACGGUCGCGUUAUCGGGGAGCUGAGCACGCUAAAGUUGACCGUCUUACUCUGGGCCAAGCCAAGUGGUGAGUCAGUCAGGGACAAGGCUGACAUUUUCUUUUCAGCAAGUCAUAUUUCCUUCCAUUAAAAAAAGUAAUGGAGAAGCCAGACCCCAAACGACAAAUGCUGUAAGGUUCCACUUCUACGAGCUCCUGAGAGGAGUCAAAUUCAUAGAGACAGAAAGGAGACCGGUGGCUGCCAGAGGCUGGUGGGUGAGGGGUGGAAAUGGGGAGUUAGCGUUUCAUGGGGACAGACUUUCAGUUGGGAAGAUAAGAAAGUUCUGGAGACGGAUGGUAGUUGAUCGUUGCCCACGGUGGGAACGUCCUUAAUGCCACUUAAAAAAUGGUUAAAGUGGUAAAUUUGCGUUCUGUAUAUUUUAUCACAAUAAAAAAAGUUA